Heterocephalus glaber (naked mole-rat) is the source of this 5202-nucleotide non-coding RNA. The record is from RefSeq and is a predicted model, not a curated record. NCBI's taxonomy places the organism in Eukaryota, Metazoa, Chordata, Mammalia, Rodentia, Bathyergidae.
GACAGCAUGGAGGGUGGCGGUGCCGCUGGGGGAGGGUCGGUGUCCCCCAGGGUGUCUGCGCGUCCCCGUGCCUGUGCGCGGGCCUGUGCACAUCUGUGCAGCAUGCGCGAGUGCCUUGCAUUUACGCACACGUCUUUGUGCCCCGGCGCCCCCUGUGCACACGUGUGUGAGUCGUACACACAAUGCCCGGCCUCCCCCUGGCCAAGCCGUGCACCCCCUCACUCUGGCUCCCCUCGCUUGUUUCUAGUCAGGUUUAGGCGGCCUGAGCUGUGGCUGGGAGGCCCGGCCAGGGCUUGGGUGGGUUCUGCUCCUCUGUGCCGAUUUCUGGCUCCCUGGGGAAGCCUCUUGCAGACGGAGACGCCACAUCCUGGCCCUCUCUGCCUUGAGCGCGGCGCACAGGGCGCUGUGGGGCCCCUGCCGGCUCAGGGGUUCUGCAGAGGCCGGCUGGUGGGGGCCCCUUCCCAGGCCAAGCCCGAGGUGAGGGGUCACCGCCCGGUCCUGAGGUUCUGCCCACGCCUGCCUCAGCCUCCCCCUGGGGUUUCAGUCAGCACCCUCCCCCGAGGGCGGAAGGCACGGGGCUCCCAGCUCCGUGUUCACACGGACAGCGGGAGCACUCACGGUGGGGAGCAGGCGGAUGUGGGCUGUAGGUGACCAGGCCCUGCGGAAAGACGCCUCCGGGGGAGGGAGGGCAGGGCCACCCCAGAAGGGCUCCAGUCCUGCUCUGGGGGCCGGGCCCACCAUGCCGACCACCUGGUCCCUGAAAACUGCAGGCUCAGCGGCAAAGGCCCCAGCGGGCAGCGGGUCUAGGCCCAGCAGGCCCAGGUGGUGACGGCAGGGGCUGCUGUCCCUCGGCCAAAGAAGACACUUGCCCUGCCCCACGCUGCUGGCAGGCAGGGCUGGGGCCACGCUGGCCAGCGUGGGCCGGCGGAGGCCACCCCACCUGCACCGGCGGGCCUGGGGCUACUCCUGUCCGGCCACAGCGGCCACCCGCGCUCUGACCCUCCUCGCUGCCCUGGGCGCCGGGUCGCUGCAAGGCAUCGCCCAGCCUGAGGGGCCAGGCAGGAGCAGCAGGUGGCAGAGGGACCCACGCCACGCACCUGUGCCCCGACUCUGCUCAGGAAGGGGCCGCGCACGCCGGCUUCCUUUGGCGUCAGUUCUUUGGAAUUUUUUUUUUUUUUUUUUUUUUUUUGGUAUCGGGGAUUGAAUUCGGGACCUUGCGCUUGCGAGGCAGGCAGCAGAACCACUGAGCUAAAUCCCCGGCCCAGUUUGAGGCCGCGCUGUCGGAGGCGCAGCGCUAAGAGCGCGGUGCGCACUUCCUGUGGGCGGAUCCCGGGCGUGCGCUCUGCCGGGGCUCCGGGGCUUCCUCGGAGUCGGCCUCCAUCCAGCGCGACCGCCGGCACUUUGUGCCUUCUGUCCUCCGUGUUCUCUUGGAAAAGCGCAGACAACGGGCUUCUUUCUGCCUCUCCGCAGACCCGGGCCUGAUGUCCGCCGGCGACGGGCUCGCUCCGUGUGGUGCUGGGGGUUGGACGGGGCUUUGGACUGAGCCACCGCAGGCCCUCUCCUAAAAUUAUUUUCUAUUUUGAAGCAGGGUCUGGCUAAGUGACUACAUCACCAGCCUGGGCUCAACUUGCAAUCUCCCUGCCUCAGCCCUCAGUGGCGGCCACACCGGCUUCCGGGGCGCCUCUAACCGUCGCCUGGGCAACGGGGUCCGCGCCGAGGUCAGCGAUCGGCCAAGUCAGACCUCGCCUGUAAGGGCACGAUCUGGAACAUUCCGAGGCCACUCGGCAGGCGGGGCGCGAGGCGGGAGGCUGGGCUUGCGGCUCCUCGGCCUCGGGGUCACCGACCUCCGGGAGGCCUCUUCCCAGCACGAGGCUGCCGAGCGGCAGCGGGCUCCGACCCAGACCGGCCCGCCCGCGAGAGGGGCGGCCCCCUAGGGGCGGGGCUUCCAGCCCAGACGCGGGCGCUGACUCGGUGAUUGAAUCUGGGUCCCGCGCGCGGUGGGCGGAGCCUGGGGAGGCCGUGGUCCGGGAGGACCCUCCCCUCCGGCCUUGGAGGAAAGAGGAGGAGGCCGGAGCGGCCGUCCCGACUCUGACCCGAUGGCAGCUCUCGCGGGGCUGUGAGGUCCUUGCAGGGUCAUGAGCAUGAAGGGGCAGCGAAGGGGAGGUCCGAAUGGGCCUCCGGGGCUUCAGGGAGGAGGCCUCGCGGCCACCGGGCAGGAACAGCUGCCCUGGGAGCAGAGACCUGAGCGACCACGUGACCACGCAUCUUCCGCCGGGAAAAGCAUAGCGGGGCAGAAGAGGCUAACGUGGCCUCUGGUCAGCCUCGGAAGGGGGCGUCCGAGUCCUUCACUGACCAUGGACCCAAACCUCUACAAACAUGCCUGAGAUCCCAGCACUCGGGAGGCUGAGGCAGGAGGAUCGCAGUGAGUUCGAGGCCAGCCGAGGCCACAUACAGACAUUCCUCAACUAGCAACUGAGUUCUGUUCCUUAAACAAAUCGGUCGCUAAAUGAGGAGCAGCAUGUACGUUACAAUAUUCAGAAUAAAGGAACGGCCAAAGGAAACUCCAACUCGAUGACGAUGACUUUGCUUAUGUUUGCAUAACUCUUAAUGGGUAGUACUGAAUGUAGAACACAGAACCACAGUACUGUACAGCACAAGUAGCACAAAUGACAGCACCGUAUGAACAAGGUGAGCUGUACAGAAAAAGACAUUGAGGAUCUGUGAACAAGACGUACAGAACGUACAAAAAAAGAUGGGUCGCAGGUCUGACCAGCUGUUAAACAGGGAUUGAACUCAGGACCUUGUGAUUGCGAGGCAGACCAUGGAACCACUGAGCUACAUCCCUGGUCCCCCAGAUGCUUUUUUAAAACAACCCUUAAAAAAACCCUUUUAAAAAAACUGGGAAUCCUGACACUGUCAGCUCCAGGCUGAGAGAUGAGAACCUGCCAAUCAGGAGUCAGGCUGGCUCAGGCAGAACUGACAGAGGGAGAGGGAAACAGGGAUUGAGCUCCUGGAUCCACCCAUGCCUGAAAUCCAUCAGCCUAUUGCUUCCAGGAUGGCAGCCCAGUAAAUGCUUCCCCUUUUCUGUGUGCAAUCCACCAGCUGGGUUGGGUGAGGCAGCGAGUCAUUGAGCAGUGUGCAUUGACCCUUGCCCUGGACAGUGGCCUCGGGGACACUGCUCCGCUGCCCAGGUUGUGGCUGAGCUGCAGGUGGCUCCGGGGCAGGCCCUAAUCCUCGACCACAGGGACAAUGGGAGCAGGCCACUCACUGCAUCAUGGCAUUGGACAUCUCGAAGUGGCCGUUACUUUCCGGAAAGCUCGAGAACAGUGGUGUAGGGGUGCAGCAAGGCCCAGUCCUGCUUCUUGAAGCUGCUGCCCGCCGGGCCUCGGACGAACCAGACUCCCUGGAACUGCAGGCAGUGACAGGACAUGCAUCCCACGCGCCCAGCUUCCUGAGCCUCAGUCUCCAGCACCAGAGGUGGGGCCCAGAGGACCCAGCAGGGCCUUCCCGUGGGGCCAGCGUGGCCUGGGCCAUGCCUCCUCCCUUGCUGCCCGCCAAGCCCCGGCCCCUACCUGGUGACUGGAAGCCGCUCAGCUGCGGUUGGGCGGGCGGCAGAAGCGAGGUCUGGGCCCGCAGGACUCUGAGCAGGGAGAGCCCCAGGGCGCAUUGGGGGCCCAUGCCCGGCCGGGGCCAGGGUCGGCAGGUGGAACCACGGCUUGGCUGGUGCCCUGGGACAGCUCGCAGGCCUGUGCACCUGCCUGAGACUCCAGUGCCAGCCUAGAGGCCGGGCCUUGGCCUCCGUGUCCCCUUCCCCGGGAGGCUCCGAGCGCCCUCUGCCCUUCCUGGCGCGGAACCUCCUGUCCCAGGCAGGGAGCGUGACCGGCCCUGGGCCGAGGAGCCAUGGGGGCCGCUGCCCACGCCCCGAGACCGCGGAGAGGGCGGCAAGGAGGGCGGGGCCCAGCGCCAGGGCUCUGGAGCCGGACAGAGGGGACUCGGGGGGGCGCUGGACGGGACAGGGACUCAGUGACCCCAGCCCCGCCCGCGCCGUUCUCCCUUGGGCACUCGGGCACACUCGGGACUGCUCGGCAGCAGGGAGCCCGCCCCCGGGGACAGACGGCACCCACGCAGGCCUGCGCCCCUGGCACUGCGCCCCCUGCGGGCGGGCAGCUCCGGGGGCCGAGUGUGGGGGAGGGCAGGCGUGGGGACAGUGGGGCCGGGCCGGGGCCCCGGGGCCUCCAGGCCGCCGACUUCGCCUGAGCCUGGUCCCCUCCUGCCGCUCGCUUCCCGCCCCCGCCUUCAUUGAGGCGGGGACAGGGCGCCGCCUCCGCCCAGGUGCCUGGUGCUGUCCUCCACUGUGUCAGAUGCAGGACCCUAGUGCUGCCCGGGGCCCUGGGCUGGGGCCCCGUCCAGUCCCCAGCCUCUGAAGGUCUCAGCCAAGACCCUGGUUAAGUGGUCCUUCCCAUAGAUUUUUUUUUUUUGGUACCAGGGAUUGAACUCGGGUCCUUGUGCUUUCGAGGCAGGCAGUGAAACCACUGAGCUAAAUCCCCAGCCCAGAUUUUUAUUAUUUAUUUAUUUAUUCAUUUAUUUGAGACAAGGUCUCACUUUGUAGUUUAGGCUGGCCUCCAACUCACAGCAGCCUUCCUACCUUAGCUCCCGGAGUGCUGGGAUUACAGGCGUGCCACCACACCUGACUUUUCCAUAGAUUUUUAAAACUACUUUUCUUCUGAAAUGUUGCUCAUCACCUAUCGGAGUUAAAGACAAAAUACAAAUGGUAAGAAAUGCUUCUGAGCUGGCGCAGAGCUGCGCGGCUGUAACCCCAGCAACUCAGGCAGCUGGGGCAGGACCGGCAGGAGUCCAAGGCCAGCUGGGCAACGGAGCAAGACUCUCAAAAUUAAAUUUUUUAAAAAGAGCUGGGGUUCUAGCUUAGUGGUACAGCGUUUACCUGGCAUGCAUGCACCCUGGGUUCCCUCCCUAGUACUGAAAAAGAGGGAAGAUUUUUAAGUAGAAGAGGUUCACUUAGAGCUAUCAUUAUUUUACUUAAGUUUUGAAGAGAAUUAGGCAAGCUCCUGAUUUGAACUCGAGCUUGUUAAACACUUUUAGAGAAGUUAAACGUGGUCACUCAGUGGUAGAGCACAUGCUCUGGAUGCUAGAGGUCCUGGGUUCAAUCCCCAGCACAACAGAAAUAAACAAACUAAGACGUGU